RNAcentral lists this ribosomal RNA (388 nucleotides) under uncultured eukaryote. RNAcentral describes it as "partial 18S ribosomal RNA". It matches the Rfam family "Eukaryotic small subunit ribosomal RNA", at positions 592 to 976 of the family's 1831-position model. The record is from RNAcentral.
AGCGAGUGUAUGUUUGUGUUGCUGCAGUUAAAAAGUUCGUAGUCGAGAUGAAUUUGAAUCGCAAAAUAUUCAAGAAGAUCUUGUAGUGUUUUCGAUUUGAAUUAAUUGUUGAGUUCAAUACUUUGGACGUUUGUUCGUUCAGAGAUCACUAUUGGAUUCUAUUUUACUAAGCUUAAAGAGGAGUGUUCAAAGCGAUGCAAAACGCAAUUGAACUUUUUUGCUUAGCAUAAUGAAAUACGUCAAAAUUGUAUUUUGUUGGUUUGGUAUGAUUUUGAAAUGACAAAUAGAAGCAAUUGGGGGCGUUGGUAUUUAGGAGUUAGCGGUGAAAUGCAAUUACCUCUUAAAGACUAACUGAAGCGAAGGCGUUCGUCUAGAGUGUUUUCAUUGA